UUUUCCUACGGGGGGCAGCAGUGGGGAAUAUUGGGCAAUGGGCGCAAGCCUGACCCAGCAACGCCGCGUGAAGGAAGAAGGUCUUCGGAUUGUAAACUUUUGUCUUAUGGGACGAUAAUGACGGUACCAUAGGAGGAAGUCACGACUAACUACGUGCCAGCAGUCGCGGUAAUACGUAGGUGGCAAGCGUUAUCCGGAAUUAUUGGGUGUAAAGGGUGCGUAGGCGGGAUGUAAAGUCAGAUGUGAAAUGCCGCAGCUUAACUGCGGAGCUGCAUUUGAAACUUAUGUUCUUGAGUGAAGUAGAG
RNAcentral lists this ribosomal RNA (305 nucleotides) under uncultured bacterium. RNAcentral describes it as "bacterial SSU rRNA". It matches the Rfam family "Bacterial small subunit ribosomal RNA", at positions 334 to 656 of the family's 1533-position model. The record is from RNAcentral.